CCAGAGGAAAGGUUGAGACUGGAGAUAUAAAUUUGGAAAUCUUCAGCUCCUGGGUUUUUCAAAACCUAAGCUAGGUGUGACCACCAAGGGGAUAAGUGUGGACAGAGGAGAUUCGAGGACUGAGCCCUGGGCAUGCCUCCACUGAAGGGUGAAAAUGGCCUGUGCCCCGGAAGCAGUUGCUUGUUGAGUGCUUUUGGGCCGAUUUCGGAGACUGUUGGGGGAGUUGUCGCCAUGUUCCUGUCCGCGGUCACCUUUGCCAAGAGCAAGUCAAAAACCAUUCUGGUGAAAAUGCUAAGCCAAGCUGGGACAGGUUACUCCUUCAACACUAAGAGAAGCCGACUACGGGAGAAACUGACUCUCUUACAUUAUGAUCCAAUUGGUUGGCAUCCCUGGUCACCACUCACAGAUUACCAGUGCCAAACUUGAUGAAAGCAGUAACCUUUCCAGUCUCCACCAUCAGUCUGAAUGGUGUCCUUCACCUUGAUGAGGGAAUCAGCAUAGCAGAUGAUGCAAGCAUAAUGGGUGACCAGUGAAAACAAAAGUCCUCUUUGUGGAACAGAAAAAAAUACGCUCCCUCUAAACAAUGGAUUGAAAAUGAACUUGAUUUAUAAAUGAGAAGACUGAGGGCGGGAUACUGAUUCAGAAAUUCUGCAGCGUGUAAUAAAAGAAGAGGAAAUGGCACGGAAUCACUGCCUCCUGUGAUUUGAAGGCCAUUGUGAAGGAAAACAAUGGACUGAAAGAAAGUUCUUCAUAUUAGGACAUAUAUCAUUGCAUCACAUUUAUUUAUCUUUCUGGAUAUUUUUAUAGCCCUUAAUAAAAAAUAUUAAAAUAGCGUGUA
RNA transcript from Lynx canadensis (Canada lynx), 838 nucleotides. It is a transcript of the gene named mitochondrial ribosomal protein L33, with no coding region annotated. The transcript is spliced from 6 exons. The record is from RefSeq and is a predicted model, not a curated record. Lineage: Eukaryota; Metazoa; Chordata; Mammalia; Carnivora; Felidae.